AGCCUUGUCAGCAUGAAUAUGUGCGAACCGUAGAACUGUCUAACCUCUGCAACCGUGCUGAAGCAACUGCAAAUUGUGAGCAACAGCCAAAAUAAAAAAAAGGUUUGAAUAAAAAUAGAACACAGAAUGGAAAAUAUCUUUUAACUAUAUUCUGGUUUAUUUAAUUUACCAUGCUAUUUUACCCAGUUCUUUAAUCUGUAUUGCUAAUGACUCAGUACCUAUAAUCUUAACCUUGUUUUGUUUUUUAAACUUUGAUCAUAAUUAUGAUUAAAUAAUUCAUACUAAUAUACUAAAUCAGCCCUGUUUGUUUUGCUUUCAGUUUUCUGUAGAGAACAUGAUAUGCUGGAGAAAUAGAAGCAAUAGUUUCGUCAAUCACCUUAAUAUAAUUUAGGUACUCUGGGAACUAUAGUGUUAUAAGGCUCUUCAAUUCUUCUUACAGGUUCCAGAAGCCCCAAAAAACUGUAUUUCCAAGGGAUCUCGGUUCUCACAUGGUUGCUGGUGCUUAAAGAAGGUCAUAGCAGCAGCCUUAUCACUGCCAAACAAAGAUGGAAGGGAUAGAUGAAAUCAUGGGAAGGGCUGGUGGUGUGAUGAGGCCAUGCCAUUGACAAGCUGAUCCAACAUAUUGGAGCAGAUUUGGUUUACUUUGUAAUUAGCCUGGAGACGUAUCUAAAGCAACAACAUUACUCUGAACUGUCAAGAUAGUGAGGACUAUUUGCCUCUUCUAUUAUUAGGGAAAUUAUGCAAAUAUUUAGUUAAAAUUUGUUUUACUAACUGCCUCAAUUCCAAAUUCUAGAGGACCAUGGGCUGCUAUGCAAGAGGACGGAGUGGGAUCCACCAAGAAAUGAACGGACUCAAUGCUACUUGUAAUAGAUGCUACACUGAAGCUGGGUGUGAGUCUCUUUCUGGGCUUUCAGUUGUGAUUUGAUAUCCAGCCUAAUCCUUUAUGAGAACGCAUAACCACAUACCAUCAGUUGCCAUUUUUCGUGACUGCCCUGAAGUUGUAGUUAACCUGAACCCAGCUGGCAGAGUUUCUGAAGAGCCAGGCAUCAUGCUGAUUCCGUGGACUUCACGUGGAGGAAACUGUCUUCGCCAGGAAGAGCCACGCCUGAAAUUCUUAUCAUCAGCCUGUUCACACACAAUUUUUGUGUUUUACAAAAGGCAGAACUACAUAUUUCCAUUCACUUCUAUUAUCUUGUCAAAAAUGUUAUCCAAAUACAGUAUGGUGCAGUGUUCUAUUAAACUAGGCCUGGGGUGUUCCAAAUCCUCACUCAUCAUGCCAAUUGCGGGAUGAUCUUGGUCCACUUAAACUAAUGUACUUUACAGGGCUGUAGUGAGGUUAUAAUGGAGGAGGGGAGGUCCGUGUAUUCACAUAUUAAUAACACAGUUAAUGGGGGUACAAUUAAGCUUUUAUUUGUUAUCUUUUAAGACAUUUGUCUCUAUCUACUUCAUGCAUUCUUAUAAAAUUACCAACGAACAUU
Long non-coding RNA from Eublepharis macularius, 1478 nucleotides. RefSeq lists it as uncharacterized. The record is from RefSeq and is a predicted model, not a curated record. The transcript has 2 exons. NCBI's taxonomy places the organism in Eukaryota, Metazoa, Chordata, Lepidosauria, Squamata, Eublepharidae.